UCAGGCAGACCCUCUCAUGCCACGUUUCUGCUUGUCAUUGUUACCAACACCAGGGCUGACCCAGGUCUGUCACAGUCACUGGCAGAUUCCAAAAGCUGCAGAUAACACCCCUGCCCCAAGACUGCAAAACAGAUGAAAGUCAGCUUAUACCUGACAGCAAGAAGAGAUGACAAAGAGGAAGAGCUGACACCAUGUGGCACAUGGGUCAGGCACACAAGCAGCCGGAGGCACCUGUCACCACCCAAUACCUGUAACCCACCUGUAACCCCAUUGCCGGGACAUUCCAACUUAAUGAUGUGGAAAGAGCCCCCUGGUGCAGUGUUGGCGGCGGCGCACAGUCGUGAGGAGUACAUGUGCAAGGGCCCGGAAGCCGUUGUUAUAGUACCUGGAGUAUCAUUGACCCUCAGAGGCUUCCUCACCUACCUUGUCUCUCCUCCCGGGGAAGAUUGGUCCAAGUGCCUGUCUCACAAAGUGUCCAGAGCAGCACCCCUCACAUGCAAGGCACUGGGGCAUCCUCUGUCUUGUCCCCGCCGGACGCUCCUAGUAAAUGUAGAUGAACAUUCAGGAACCGAGUUCAGAUCACAGCUGUCCUGCCCCGACGACCGGCUUCUCAUUUGUCUGAAAAGUUCCCAACGUUUCCAGCCUGGGCUGCAGAAUGGCUCCCACAAAGAAGGCUGGUAAGCAGAAAGGCUGUCGUGCCAUGGACACUCAGAACCGCGUCCGUGGAGUGGCUUUCCAGAAGCGUGCCCCUGGGCACUCAAAGAAUCCAGACAUUUGCCACGAAGGACACGGGCACUCCAGAGGUGAACACAAACACAGGCUCCGCAAAGCUGUCUGGGCUGAAGGAGUAGCGGGUGUCGCCUGCCGUAUCUGUGUGCAGUGGUCCAGAAUGCAACGCAGAUGAGGACUCACCAAACAAGCUCUGUAUGUUGGGUACCUCUGGGCCUGUCACCAUGUUCAAAAACCUACACAGUUAAUAUGGAUGAGAACUAACCACUGAUUUGUCAAGUAAAGAUAUAAACCCACAAAAGCAAUAUUAAUAAAAUAAAAAACAUAAAGCUCCCA
This 1065-nucleotide long non-coding RNA is filed under the name Vulpes vulpes (red fox). Its description in RNAcentral is "lncRNA (ENSVVUG00000004242.1)". Lineage: Eukaryota; Metazoa; Chordata; Mammalia; Carnivora; Canidae. The record is from RNAcentral.